UCAAGCCAAUGUGAUACAAUAUGCAAAUUCCAAGUCCUUACAUGCAAAAACAAUUAUUUAAGCAUCCUUAUUUUAUAUCCUUAGUGGAAAUCUCUUCUUGUCUAGCCAUCAUUAUCUGAGGCAAGCUGCUGUAAGAAAUCUAUUACUUUGUGCUGCCAAGCUAUUAGAAGAGACGUCGAAAAUAUCCUCUUUAAAACUCUUGUGCUUC
RNAcentral lists this long non-coding RNA (208 nucleotides) under Prunus persica (peach). Its description in RNAcentral is "long non-coding RNA (PPER_LNC005099)". Lineage: Eukaryota; Viridiplantae; Streptophyta; Magnoliopsida; Rosales; Rosaceae. The record is from RNAcentral.